Molecule: microRNA precursor, 116 nt
Filed under: Myotis lucifugus (little brown bat)
Lineage: Eukaryota; Metazoa; Chordata; Mammalia; Chiroptera; Vespertilionidae
Description: mir-9193 microRNA precursor family
Rfam family: mir-9193 microRNA precursor family
Source: Rfam by way of RNAcentral
CAUGAACCAAGGGAGUCCCUCGGCCUGGCCUGCGGGAUCAGGUUGAAACUGACUCUCUGACAUCCUCUGAGGGGUCCCAGAUUGCAAGCUAGGCCGAGGGACCCCACUGGUGCAUG